CCUGGUAGCUUGGAUGGUAAAGUGUCUGCCUGCAAUGCAGGAGACCUGGGUUUGAUCCCUGGGUCAGGA
Molecule: transfer RNA, 69 nt
Filed under: Bos taurus (domestic cattle)
Lineage: Eukaryota; Metazoa; Chordata; Mammalia; Artiodactyla; Bovidae
Also listed under: 2 other names
Rfam family: tRNA
About the family: Transfer RNA (tRNA) molecules are approximately 80 nucleotides in length. Their secondary structure includes four short double-helical elements and three loops (D, anti-codon, and T loops).
Source: Rfam by way of RNAcentral